Long non-coding RNA from Cebus imitator (Panamanian white-faced capuchin), 3457 nucleotides. RefSeq lists it as uncharacterized. The record is from RefSeq and is a predicted model, not a curated record. The transcript is spliced from 6 exons. Lineage: Eukaryota; Metazoa; Chordata; Mammalia; Primates; Cebidae.
CUAGUCUCUUUAAUAUGUUUACAUUUAGGUGCCUAUGGUUCAUGCUCGAAGUUUUAAUGACAAAGAAUGAAAACAAUAGCCAUGCCUUUAUGAAGAAGAUGGCAGAGAACAUCAAGUUAACCAGAGAUGCCCAGUCUCCAGAUGAAUCCAAGACAAAUGAAAAACUGUAUACAGUAUGUGAUGUGGCUCUCUGUGUUAUAAAUAGUAAAAGUGCUUUGUGCAAUGCAGAUUCACCAAAGGACCCAGUCCUCCCAAUGAAAUUUUUUACACAACCUGAAAAGGACUUCUGUAACGAUAAAAGUUAUAUUUCAGAAGAGACAAGAGUACUUCUGUUAACAGGAAAGGGAACAGAGUUCAGAGGCAACAGAAACUGGAGUAAGUGAAAAUGAAGAGAACCCUGUGAGGAUUAUUUCAGUUACACCUGUAAAGAAUAUUGACCAAGUAAAAAAUAAGGAAAUUAAUUCUGAUCAGGCUACCCAGGGCAACAUCAGCAGUGACCGAGGAAAGAAAAGAACAGUAACAGCAGCUGGUACAGAAAAUAUCCAACAAACAACAGAUGAGAAAGUAGAUGAAUCGGGACCGCCUGCCCCUUCCAAACCCAGGAGAGGACGUCGACCCAAGUCUGAAUCUCAGGGCAAUGCAACCAAAAAUGAUGAUUUAAAUAAACCUAUUAACAAGGGAAGGAAGAGAGCUGCAGUGGGUCAGGAGAGCCCUGGGGGUUUGGAAGCAGGUAAUGCCAAAGCACCCAAACUGCAAGAUGUAGCCAAAAAGGCAGCACCAGCAGAAAGACAGAUUGACCUACAAAGGUAAAAAGGCAUUUGCAGAGGGAGAAAAUGAAGGCCAAACAGAAGCAGGCUCCAGCUUCUGCAAAAACUUGGAUUCACAAAUGUCCCUGAACAGAAAAUGAAGCUCACUUCAGAACACACACUCUCUGCCUUGAAAACUGAAGAAACUAUUACUUCCUUUUCACAUGACCACAAGUCCUCUGAUGGAAAUGUACAGCAGAAACUCUUGAGAGAGAGGCUAAAAGCAACUCUGUUCUCCCCCUUCCCCUAGACUUUUCUUACGAAAAGUCAAUAAUUAAGCAAAUUGCUUAACACUUGGUUCCAGUUCCUGCCUAUCUGGAGUUUAAAUGCAUAAUACACCAUUAAUUUCCACGCUGCAGUUUUUAUUUUAAAGAAAGUAACAAGAUGUCUUUACACUGACACUGAAAAUUCAUCGAUUUUAGAGCCAGGAAUUCCCAUGUUACACAGGAAGAAAUAGAAGUCUACUGAAUUAAUUUUUUAAAAGAAAAGAGAUCAAAUAUUUCUUUGUUUUUCCUUUUGGAAACUUUUAUGUAUAAUUCUUUCUGCCUGCCUACUUUUCUGCAAAAAUGAGAUGUACAGAUUUCGGUUCCCUGCUAUGAAAAGUGAUGUGGUGGCAAUUUUAUAAAUGUUGCUUUCUGAUUUUUAUCAGAGUGAGAAAAUAAUUAAAAUUAUAUUGAUUUGCAAGUAGUAAACAGUUCAUAUUUUGAUUUCCCCUCAUUUUAGUUUAAUAUAAUUUGCAAUAAAUGUACAUAUUGUUGUUUGUUUCAUAAAGCAUAUCACUUUAAAAUGGUUUUUACUCCUGUGAUUAUGUUGGAAUAUUUGGAAUUUUAAAGGAGUAAAGACUGUCCAGCAUUUGGUUUUAUAAUGUUUGUCACCAGAUUUUUAUUAAUAAUGUAAAAAAAAAAAAGUCAAUUUUUAAAAAAUAGUUGGCCUUUGGCAGCUUUGUAAGGAACGUUGGAGGUGUUUUAGGAUUGCUGUCAAUUUUCAGCAUUGUGCUAUUGGGAAAAAAGUGUUUUGCUUUGGUCUGAUGGUCUGAGCUCAUUUUUAUGUUUAUUUUAGAAAGCUGUUGCAUCAAUAUGUUAUGUUCCUUGGCAUUGUUCAGCAUAGGUAAUGUGUGCACUUUUUGUGUACACAUAAUCAUAUUUAAGUUUUUUGCAUAAAAUAAAUGCUUCUAGAUGUUAUAUGGCAGUCUUUUUAAUCUUUUUAUCAUAUGCUUGUGAAUUUUUUCAUGUUAAAGAGCUAAAGUCAUAACAUGAUUACAGUCAACUCUCCAUUAUCUAUAUAAAAUAGUGACUAUGCCUCAGGUUUUUAAUUUUUUGGUAAUCAUAAACUUACAAAAUAAAGAAGGCAUAUAAGACCUGAUUCCGGAGGAACUUGAAAUUUGUCUUUUCUCAUGACCAGAGUUCGGUCCUCCCCCAUUGUUCACUAUAGGGUCAUCCGCAAAGCCCUGGGAGAAUGUGCUGACUUCAUUUUCUUACUCAUUCCUAGCAUGGGUGAAAGGAAACAAACAACAUUUAUGUUAUAACUUGGUCUGGAUAGGCUGUAGUUAGUAUACAUGGGAUAUAAAAGAAACUGAUGCGCAUCAAAGGUGGAUGAUUCUGUAGAGUGAAGUUUGAGAGUAAAUGUCACAACGUUCUCAUAGAUAAUCAAGAGUUGGCUGUGUACGGAUUGAAAGAUGGGUAAUUAUUUUAAAUAUGCAUAUACACACACAUUCAGGUAUUCAGAAGAUGGUUAGGGAACAGUGGAUGCCAAUGAUAGAAAACGAUACCUUCGCAGGGGCAGAAAAAGCCCUACUCUUCCUUAUUGCCUCUUCAGAACCCUUUAGAAAGUAUAAAAUAUUGCCUCCAACAUGCUGAAAAAAGAGUAUCUAUGCAUAAGUAUCAGAGAAGUCCCUCAAGCAAGCAGUAGGUGUGUUACAUUUAGAAAGAGUUUAAAGUUCUCUUAGCAUCAGACAACUUGAUUCCUAAGGUUUCCUUCGUGUCACCAACAAAAAGUGCAUUGAUAGGGCCUUUGGCUCUUCCUCCCUUUGAUUAAUUGCCCAACAUCACAGUUUAAUUACCAAGUGUGACAUCAUAUUAAAACGUAGCAGAACUAUCUGCAUCAAUAUAUUCCUGUUUAGAUUUUUGCAGGAGACAAGUUACUUGAAAGACAAGAUCUGGUCCUUGUGUGAUGUAAAUGGCCCACCCGUUUUGUAAUAUGAUGCAAGUGUCUGGCACUAAGGGAAGCAAGAGUAGGAUUGUAGAGAGAUCGAUCUGAUGGGGAGGGACUUAUUUACGGGAAAUUUUUUAGUUUUCCUUUUUGAAGGAAAACAUUAAAAUCCCUUAGGAAUUUGGUAUUCACAUCUCAGAGAACUACAACACAAAAGUGCAGACUUAUAUUUGAGAAUUAAUAUUAACCCUUUGUGUCUAGUUUGAAGCUUCUUGUAUUUGUCUAAAACUACAAGCCAGAAUUUUGUAUCUCCUUUGAUAUAAAGUGUGUAUAAUGUAAAGUAGUUUUGCAUAUUAUUGUGCUGCACAUGGGCUGAAUUUUUAAAUUUUUUUUAAAAACUUGAAGCAGAACCUUGUAAUUUGUGUAAAUGACAAGUGUAAAAUCCUACCAUAAAAUGCUAAAGAUAUGCACUGUUUCAAAUAAAACCAAGAAAUGCAGCAUUA